AAACAUACAGGUUUGGUCCCAGCCUUCCUGUUAACUUGUAAUAAACUUACACAUGCAAGCAUCCACACUCUGGUGAGAAUGUCCUCUGGGUCAGCAAGACUAAGAGGAGCUGGUAUCAAGCACACAUCUGCAGCUCACAACACCUUGCUUAACCACACCCCCAUGGGAGACAGCAGUGACAAAAAUUAAGCCAUAAACGAAAGUUUGACUAAGUUUUAUUGACUAGGGUUGAUAAAUCUCGUGUCAGCCACUGCAGCCAUACGAUUAACCCAAGCUAACAGGAAUACAGCGUAAAACAUGUUAAAGCACUACACCAAAUAGAGUUAAAUUCUAAUUAAGUGGCAAAAAGCCAUAAUUAUAAUAAAAAAUAAAUGACAAAAUAACUCUACAAUAGCUGAUACACUAAUAGAUAAGACCCAAACUGGGAUUAGAUACCCCACUAUGCUCAGCCCUAAACACAUAUAAUUACAGAAACAAAAUUAUUCGCCAGAUUACUACUGGCAAUAGCUUAAAACUCAAAGGACUUGGUGGUGCUUUAUACCCUUCUAGACGAGCCUGUUCUAUAAUCGAUAAACUGUGAUAAACCUCACCAAUCCUUGCUAAUACAGUCUAUAUACUGCCAUCUUCAGCAAACCUUAAAAAGGAACAAAAGUAAGCAUAAUCAUAAUAAAUAAAAAUGUUAGGUCAAGGUGUAACCUAUGAGUGGGAAGAAAUGGGCUACAUUUUCUAUCUUAAGAAAACCCAAUACGAAAGUUAUUAUGAAACUAAUGACCAAAGGAGGAUUUAGUAGUAAACAAAAAUAGAGUGCUUAGUUGAAUUAGGCCAUGAAACACACACAAACUGCCCAUCACAUUCCUCAGAUAAAUACGAUACACUCAAGUCUAUUUACACGCACCAACCAUAUGAGAGGAGACAAGUCAUAACAAGGCAAGCAUACUGGAAAGUGUGCUUGGACAAAUCAAGAU
RNAcentral lists this non-coding RNA (965 nucleotides) under Ovis aries (sheep). Lineage: Eukaryota; Metazoa; Chordata; Mammalia; Artiodactyla; Bovidae. The record is from Rfam by way of RNAcentral.